GAUGAACGCUGGCGGCGUGCCUAAUACAUGCAAGUCGAGCGAACGGACGAGAAGCUUGCUUCUCUGAUGUUAGCGGCGGACGGGUGAGUAACACGUGGAUAACCUACCUAUAAGACUGGGAUAACUUCGGGAAACCGUAGCUAAUACCGGAUAAUAUUUUGAACCGCAUGGUUCAAAAGUGAAAGACGGUCUUGCUGUCACUUAUAGAUGGAUCCGCGCUGCAUUAGCUAGUUGGUAAGGUAACGGCUUACCAAGGCAACGAUGCAUAGCCGACCUGAGAGGGUGAUCGGCCACACGGGAACUGAGACACGGUCCAGACUCCUACGGGAGGCAGCAGUAGGGAAUCUUCCGCAAUGGGCGAAAGCCUGACGGAGCAACGCCGCGUGAGUGAUGAAGGUCUUCGGAUCGUAAAACUCUGUUAUUAGGGAAGAACAUAUGUGUAAGUAACUGUGCACAUCUUGACGGUACCUAAUCAGAAAGCAACGGCUAACUACGUG
This 497-nucleotide ribosomal RNA is filed under the name uncultured bacterium. Its description in RNAcentral is "partial 16S ribosomal RNA". It matches the Rfam family "Bacterial small subunit ribosomal RNA", at positions 28 to 507 of the family's 1533-position model. The record is from RNAcentral.